UACGUAGGGUGCGAGCGUUGUCCGGAAUUACUGGGCGUAAAGAGCUUGUAGGUGGUUUGUCGCGUUGUUCGUGAAAUCUCACGGCUUAACUGUGAGCGUGCGGGCGAUACGGGCAGACUAGAGUACUGCAGGGGAGACUGGAAUUCCUGGUGUAGCGGUGGAAUGCGCAGAUAUCAGGAGGAACACCGGUGGCGAAGGCGGGUCUCUGGGCCACUACUGACGCUGAGAAGCGAAAGCGUGGGGAGCGAACAGG
RNAcentral lists this ribosomal RNA (253 nucleotides) under uncultured bacterium. RNAcentral's name for it is "partial 16S ribosomal RNA". It matches the Rfam family "Bacterial small subunit ribosomal RNA", at positions 524 to 776 of the family's 1533-position model. The record is from RNAcentral.